CUUUCCUUCAGGUACUCAGGAUCAACCAGCACCACUCCGUCUGCAAGGGAAGAGCAGAGCCAGCAGGUUGGGGACAUGGGACCAGGGUUGGGGACAUGGCACAGAGGUUGGGGACAUGGCACAGAGGUUGGGGACAAGCCACAGGGGCUGGGGACAUUGCAUGGGGGUUGAGGACACAGCAUGGGGCUGGGGACGUGGCA
Long non-coding RNA from Tympanuchus pallidicinctus (lesser prairie-chicken), 200 nucleotides. RefSeq lists it as uncharacterized. The transcript has 3 exons. The record is from RefSeq and is a predicted model, not a curated record. Lineage: Eukaryota; Metazoa; Chordata; Aves; Galliformes; Phasianidae.